Molecule: ribosomal RNA, 253 nt
Filed under: uncultured bacterium
Lineage: Bacteria
Description: partial 16S ribosomal RNA
Rfam family: Bacterial small subunit ribosomal RNA
Source: RNAcentral
UACGUAGGAUGCAAGCGUUGUCCGGAUUUAUUGGGCGUAAAGAGUUCGUAGGUGGUUCGUUAAGUCUGAUGUUAAAUAUCGGGGCUCAACCUCGGGAGUGCAUUGGAUACUGGCGGACUUGAGUGUGGUAGAGGCAAUCGGAAUUCCAGGUGUAGCGGUGAAAUGCGUAGAUAUCUGGAAGAACACCGGUGGCGCAAGCGGAUUGCUGGGCCAUAACUGACACUGAGGAACGAAAGCUAGGGGAGCAAAUGGG